RNAcentral lists this transfer RNA (68 nucleotides) under Cryptocercus relictus (relict cockroach). RNAcentral describes it as "tRNA-Val". The record is from RNAcentral. Lineage: Eukaryota; Metazoa; Arthropoda; Insecta; Blattodea; Cryptocercidae.
CAAGUUAAUUUUUAGUUAGGAGUUUCAUUUACGUUGAUAAUUGUACUGUUCAAUUCAGUAUAGCUUGU